GAGUCUGAACCAGCCAAGUAGCGUGAAGGAUGACUGCCCUAUGGGUUGUAAACUUCUUUUAUAUGGGAAUAAAGUGAUCCACGUGUGGAUUUUUGUAUGUACCAUAUGAAUAAGGAUCGGCUAACUCCGUGCCAGCAGCCGCGGUAAUACGGAGGAUCCGAGCGUUAUCCGGAUUUAUUGGGUUUAAAGGGAGCGUAGGUGGACAGUUAAGUCAGUUGUGAAAGUUUGCGGCUCAACCGUAAAAUUGCAGUUGAUACUGGCUGUCUUGAGUACAGUAGAGGUGGGCGGAAUUCGUGGUGUAGCGGUGAAAUGCUUAGAUAUCACGAAGAACUCCGAUUGCGAAGGCAGCUCACUGGACUGCAACUGACACUGAUGCUCGAAAGUGUGGGUAUCAAACAGGAUUAGAUACCCUGGUAGUCCACACAGUAAACGAUGAAUACUCGCUGUUUGCGAUAUACAGUAAGCGGCCAAGCGAAAGCAUUAAGUAUUCCACCUGGGGAGUACGCCGGCAACGGUGAAACUCAAAGGAAUUGACGGGGGCCCGCACAAGCGGAGGAACAUGUGGUUUAAUUCGAUGAUACGCGAGGAACCUUACCCGGGCUUAAAUUGCAUUUGAAUAUAUUGGAAACAGUAUAGUCGUAAGACAAAUGUGAAGGUGCUGCAUGGUUGUCGUCAGCUCGUGCCGUGAGGUGUCGGCUUAAGUGCCAUAACGAGCGCAACCCUUAUCUUCAGUUACUAACAGGUUAUGCUGAGGACUCUGGAGAGACUGCCGUCGUAAGAUGUGAGGAAGGUGGGGAUGACGUCAAAUCAGCACGGCCCUUACGUCCGGGGCUACACACGUGUUACAAUGGGGGGUACAGAAGGCCGCUACCUGGUGACAGGAUGCUAAUCCCAAAAGCCUCUCUCAGUUCGGAUCGAAGUCUGCAACCCGACUUCGUGAAGCUGGAUUCGCUAGUAAUCGCGCAUCAGCCAUGGCGCGGUGAAUACGUUCCCGGGCCUUGUACACACCGCCCGUCAAGCCAUGAAAGCCGGGGGUACCUGAAGUACGUAACCGCAAGGAGCGUCCUAGGGUAAAACUGGUAAUUGGGGCUAAGUCGUAACAAGGUAGCCGUACCGGAAGGUGCGGCUGGAACACCU
Molecule: ribosomal RNA, 1137 nt
Filed under: Bacteroides faecis
Lineage: Bacteria; Pseudomonadati; Bacteroidota; Bacteroidia; Bacteroidales; Bacteroidaceae
Description: bacterial SSU rRNA
Rfam family: Bacterial small subunit ribosomal RNA
Source: RNAcentral